This 82-nucleotide transfer RNA is filed under the name Escherichia coli. RNAcentral describes it as "tRNA-Met". It matches the Rfam family "tRNA". From Rfam's summary of the family: Transfer RNA (tRNA) molecules are approximately 80 nucleotides in length. Their secondary structure includes four short double-helical elements and three loops (D, anti-codon, and T loops). Lineage: Bacteria; Pseudomonadati; Pseudomonadota; Gammaproteobacteria; Enterobacterales; Enterobacteriaceae. The record is from RNAcentral.
CGCGGGGCUGGAGCAGUCCUUGGUAGUCUCGUCGGGCUCAUAACCCGAACGGUCGUCGGUUCAAAUCCGGCCCUCGCAACCA